UACGUAGGGUGCAAGCGUUGUCCGGAAUUAUUGGGCGUAAAGAGCUCGUAGGCGGUUUGUCGCGUCUGCUGUGAAAUCCCGAGGCUCAACCUCGGGUCUGCAGUGGGUACGGGCAGACUAGAGUGCAGUAGGGGAGAUUGGAACUCCUGGUGUAGCGGUGGAAUGCGCAGAUAUCAGGAAGAACACCGAUGGCGAAGGCAGAUCUCUGGGCCGUAACUGACGCUGAGGAGCGAAAGCCAGGGGAGCGAACGGG
This 253-nucleotide ribosomal RNA is filed under the name uncultured bacterium. Its description in RNAcentral is "partial 16S ribosomal RNA". It matches the Rfam family "Bacterial small subunit ribosomal RNA", at positions 524 to 776 of the family's 1533-position model. The record is from RNAcentral.